UUUUCAUCUUCCCUGAUGAUGAAAAAAAUGGGUAAGGAACAAUUUGACAUUCAGUUCAGGAAGAAGAUGCAGGUGUGAUAACAGUCUACAGGUUAUUUUGCAGAAGGAAUGUGGCUUGAGAAAGUUAAUGUGAAAUCAACACUGAACUUUGUUAACUGUUGCUAUCAAGAUUUGUAGACUAAAAACGUUCUUUACCAGUUCACCUCUAAAUUAGUAUCAGGAUACUUUCAGAAUGUCUAGCAAAGAAGUGAAGACUGCCCUAAAAAGUGCAAGAGAUGCAAUCAGAAACAAAGAGUACAAAGAAGCUUUGAAACAUUGCAAGACAGUGUUAAAACAAGAGAAAAAUAACUAUAAUGCCUGGGUUUUCAUUGGUGUUGCCGCAGCUGAAUUAGAACAGCCCGAUCAGGCCCAGGGUGCCUAUAAGAAAGCUGCUGAGCUAGAGCCAGAGCAGCUACUUGCUUGGCAGGGGCUAGCGAGUUUGUAUGAGAAGUGUAAUCAUGAAAAUGCUAAGGGGGAUUUACCUGGUGUUUACCAAAAGCUGUUGGAUCUCUAUGAAAGUGUUGACAAACAGAAGUGGUGUGAUGUCUGUAAGAAGCUUGUGGGUCUGCAUCACCAGGAAAAGAGGCAGCUAGAGGUGGCUCGGACAUGGUAUAAAUUGAUAAAGACACGGCGAGAAGACGGAGCAGACAAGCAAGAGCUUUAUGAGCUGUGGAGAAAACUGACUGAGUUGCUAGCUGAGAAUAUAGAGGACCAGGAUAAUGAAACCCAGCAGAUGCUUUUAACUGCAUUUGAGAAUGCACUGGAUUUAGCAGAUAAUAUUCCCAGUGAAGAUCACCAAGUACUUUAUAGGCAUUUCAUUCAAUGCUUAUCUAAAUUUCCUCAUGAGACUACAAGGUUGGAGAAGGCUUGUGAAGGGAUGAUAACUAUCUAUCCCACCAUACAGUAUCCACUAGAAGUGAUUUGUUUGUACUUGAUUGAGACAGGGAGUCUGACAGAUGAGGGACAGCGGUAUUGUUGUAAGCUAGUGGAAAUGAAUUCAAAGAGUGGUCCAGGCCUCAUUGGCUUAGGCAUUAAAGCUUUACAAGACAAGAAGUAUGAAGAUGCUGUUAGUCACCUGACAGAAGGCGUGAAGGAAAGCCCUCUCUGCAUAGCUGGCUGGUGUCAUCUAGCAGAAGCCCAAACCAAAAUGCACAGACCCAAGGAAGCUAUUCUUUCUUGCAACCAAGCACUGAAGAACAUAGAUAAUCAUGGUGUGGCAGGUGGCAACCGUCAUCAGAAGAAUCUCUGUCUUCUGAAAGCAGAGGCUUUGCUUAAACUCUCGGAUUGUGAGUCUUCAGAGGAAGCACUUCGCAUUCUUGAUCAGGUUUCGGAUGCAGAUAAUACCCCAGGACUGCUGGUUCUUCGAGGCCUGGCCCGUCUGAACACAGGUGCUGUAGACGAGGCUACAAAGAUUAUGGAAGAUCUUCGAGCUUCUUACCCUGACCUGGCCGAAGUCCAUGCGCUUGAGGCUCUGAUACAUUUUACUAAGAAGGACUAUCUGCAAGCAGAAGCAUGUUUCCAGAGAGCAAUUGAGAAAGACGCUGAAGUUGCUGAAUAUCAUUACCAGCUUGGGUUGACAUACUGGUUCAUGGGCGAAGAGACAAGAAAAGAUAAAGCAAAGGCUCUGACCCACUUUCUGAAGGCUGCAAGACUGGACACAUACAUGGGUAAAGUUUUCUGCUAUUUAGGUCAUUAUUACCGCGAUAUAGCUGGAGAUAGGAGCAGAGCCCGCGGAUGUUACAGGAAAGCUUUUGAAUUAGAUGACACCGAUGCUGAGUCUGGAGCGGCAGCCGUUGACCUAAGUGUGGAACUUGAAGACACGGAAACUGCUUUAGCUAUCUUAACAGCAGUAACUCAAAAGGCAAGUGCUGGAGCAGCGAAGUGGGCCUGGCUUCGGCGAGGACUGCACUAUCUGAAAGCUGGGCAGCAUUCGCAAGCAGUGGCUGAUUUACAGGCGGCACUAAGGGCGGACCCAAAGGACUGUAAUUGUUGGGAAUCCUUGGGAGAGGCGUACUUGAGCAGGGGUGGCUACACAACAGCCUUGAAGUCCUUCACGAGAGCCAGCGAGCUGAACCCAGACUCCACCUACAGUGUGUUUAAGGUAGCAGCGAUUCAGCAGCUCCUGGGCCGGUACACAGAAGCCAUCACUCAGUAUCAGCUCAUCCUUAAAAAGGAGGAGGGCUAUGUGCCGGCCUUGAAAGGUUUGGGUGAGUGCUAUCUGAUGAUGGCGAAAACAGCUUUAGUGGAUUUUCUGGAUGGGAAAGCUGUGGACUAUGUGGAAAAAGCACUGGAAUAUUUUACUUGGGCACUGCAGCAUCGAGCUGAUGUGUCCUGCCUUUGGAAGCUUGCUGGGGAUGCCUGCACCAGCCUGCAUGCUGUUUCACCGUCGAAAGUGAAUGUUCAUGUCUUAGGAGUCCUUCUCGGUCAGCAAGAAGGAAGAGAAGUAUUAAAGAAAGACGAGCUUCUGCAUCUUGGAGGAAGAUGCUAUGGUCGUGCAUUAAAGUUGAUGUCGACAUCUAAUACGUGGUGUGAUCUUGGAAUUAAUUACUACCACCAAGCACGACAUCUGGCAGAGACAGGCAGUGGCACGGAUGGCCUUACCGAGCUCCUGGAGAAAUCUGUGCAUUGUUUAAAGAAGGCAGUGAGAUUGGACAGUAAUAAUCACUUAUACUGGAAUGCUCUUGGUGUGGUUGCAUGUUACCGUGGUAUUAGAAAUUAUGCCCUUGCUCAGCACUGUUUCAUCAAAUCAAUCCAAGCAGAACAAAUUAAUGCUGCUGCAUGGACCAAUUUAGGAGUGCUAUACCUUGCGACCGAAAACAUCGAGCAAGCUCAUGAAGCUUUCAAAAUGGCUCAGUCCCUUGACCCAUCUUAUUUAUUGUGCUGGAUUGGACAAGCUCUUAUUGCAGAGACAGUUGGAAGUUAUGACACCAUGGAUCUCUUCAGGCACACUACAGAGCUAAGUAUGCAUACUGAAGGUGCCAUAGGUUAUGCAUAUUGGGUUUGUACAACAUUACAAGACAAAAGCAACAGAGAAACAGAGCUGUACAAGUACAACAUCCUCCAGAUGAACGCUGUCCCUGCGGCACAGGGUGUUCUGUGUAAAUAUGUGGAAAGAAUUCAGAAUGACGCUCCAGCUUUCACAAUGCUGGGUUAUUUAAAUGAACUUCUGCAGCUGAGAAGGGAAGCAGCAGAGGCAUACCAAAGGGCAACUGCACUGUUACAGUCCACAGAAGACCAACAUGCUUACAAUGUUACAGUGAGAAACUGGGGCAGAUUGUUAUGUUCCCUUGGUGACUAUGACAGAGCUAUCCAGGCCUUUAAGUCAACGCCCCUUGAGGAGCUGGAGGACAUCAUAGGUUUCGCAUUGGCAUUGUUUAUGAAGGGCCUGUAUAAGGAGAGCAACAAAGCCUACGAGAGAGCCUUGACUGUUGUUAAAUCAGAGCAAGACAAAGCUCAUGUCUUGACAGCUCUGGCAAUAACAGAAUACAAACAAGGACAAAUGGAUGCAGCCAAGUCACUGCUUUUCAAAUGCUCUAUUUUAAAGGAACCAACCACAGAAAGCCUUCAAGCCCUGUGCGCUCUGGGCUUGGCAAUGCAGGACGCCACGCUGUCCAAAGCAGCGCUUAACGAGUUCCUGAAGCACGUUCCACACAAAGACAGUUACCACAGAUGCCUCCUGACUGCAGCAGUGUAUGCCCUGCAGGGCCGCGGCGGGGCGGUGCAGAGACAGGCAUCCAGGGCUGUCCACAGUAACCCUGCUGACCCUGCUCUUUGGUCUUUGCUGUCCCGAGUUGUUGCUCAGUAUACUCAACGGAAUGCAAGGGGAGGUGCUGUAGCUGGCAUUGUGGCUCAUAUUCUGGAUUCAAAUCACGGAAAGAAGGCAUUAUUAUAUACUGCAGUAAACCAGCUGGCCAUGGGAAGCAGUACAGCAGAAGAUGAAAAAAAUACUGCUUUGAAGACCAUUCAGAAGGCAGCUUUCCUUUCUCCAGAUGACCCUGCUGUCUGGGCUGGGCUGAUGGCAGCCUGCCAUGCUGAUGAUAAACUGGCUUUGGUCAGCAACACGCAGCCAAAGAGAGUGGAUUUGCACUUAGCUUUGCUGUCUGCUGUUUCUGUCUCACUUAAGGACAAAGAAAGUUUACAAAAUUACAACCAGUCACUUGAAAAGUGGUCUUUCUCACAAGCUGUCACUGGUCUAAUUGACACGGGAAGAAUAUCUGAAGCUGAAUCUCUAUGCACAAAGAAUUUAAAAAGUAACCCUGAUCAGCCAGCUGUUAUCUUACUGCUGAGACAAGUUCAGUGUAAAUCACUCCUGGAAUCACAGAAGCCCCUCCCAGAUGCUGUACUUGAAGAACUGCAAAAAACAGUCAUGUCCAAUUCCACCUCCGUUCCAGCGUGGCAGUGGUUGGCACAGGUAUAUCAGUCCCAAGGAAUGAUGGGGGCUGCAGAGAUGUGUUACAGAAAGAGUCUACAAGUGGCAUCCCAACAGGGCAGUUGGAGUGGGAAGCUCUCGAGUCUGUUGAAGCUAGCACUGCUAGCAUUGGAAGUCUGCAUGGCUAAUGUUUCAGGUGAUCACUGGUCGUCCUUGCUUCAAGAGGCUACAAGCGAGGCCUUGAAAGUUUGCUUUUGUCCUCUGGCUGUCUUCUUGCAAGCUUUGUUACAGUUCAACCGCAAGAUGGGAGCAAGAGAGACACGGCGACUCUUGGAGAGAGUGGUGUAUCAGCCUGGUUAUCCCUCCUCAAUUGUAUCAACUGCACGCUGGUACCUUUUAAGACACCUCUAUGCGAAAAAUGACUAUGAGCUCAUUGACGUGUUGGUGAAGAAUGCUGAAACUCACGGUGAUAAAAGAACACUGGAUCUGAACAAGAGGCUGUCGUCGCAGUAAUCUCAGGCUGUGAGACUACGUAAGAACUGAAGAAAGUAGGACAGGCAGUGACGAGUUCACCACAACAACUAGUCUAGGACUAAAGCUGUAUCCGCUGGGCGGUGGUGCACGCCGUUAAUCCCAGCACUCAGGAGCCAGAGAGUUCUUCAGACCAAGUCUUGGUGAAAUAUACAUGUGCUCGUGUAGUCUGUCUGGCUAGUUCCAUCUCAGAUCCUAGUGAAGGAGCCUUACAUGAAUGCUUGUAAGAUUUUGACUGCUAAUGAAUAUGUCUAUAAAGUUUAAAAUGCUCAGUUACCUAGUUACAUUUAAAAACAAAUAUUAAUGAAAAAUAUGUUGAAAAUGACGCUGAUAAUAUUUAAUUAUUCGUGCAAUUUCUUCAUGAUGAAAAGACAUGAACUACCUGAAAUAAAACAAAAAUCAGUGUCUUCUUUUUUCAUAUUACCAAUGUGAGACAUGGUUUUUAAGUUGGGAUUUAAAACUUAAAAGCAGAGUUACCUAUUUUUUCCAAAAAGUAAUUUAUAUAUUUAAAUAGCCUGUAUGUCACUUACUUUGGAUUGUGGUUUUCAAUAUUCCAGUCGGCAUGGUGUUACAUGCCUUUAAUACCUGCCCUUGAGAGGCAGAGGCAGGCAGAUCUCGAAUUUCAGAUUAGUCUGGUCUACAUAGAGAGUUCCAGGACAGCCCAAAUUACAUAAUGAGAUCUUGUCUCAACAUUUUUUUUUCAGAUGUAAACAUUUAUUGUACAGAGGUAUAUAGCAAUAUAAUUUAGUAUAUGUUUUUUCCUAAGCCAGCAGGCUCAUUGUAUCAUUUUCUGAAAUCAUAUGAAUUGAUAAUAUCUUUUAAUUAAAUUGUGCUUCAGAGGUUAUUUUCUUAGACAGAACUGUAACCUGGUAUUUCCCAAUUGUGGUGGAACAUUGUAAUCACAGUCAGAAUCCUUGGGAUGGGAGGGAUCAGAACUCAGCCUUCGGAUGGAACCUGAGGCAGUCCUUAAUGCUUGUACAGACCUGAACACACAUGGUCCUCUGCUUAUUUCUCCCUGGUGCUCCUCCUAAGCGAUCCAGGGUUUACAGCCUGACCCACAGGCAGCUGGAGAUGCUCUGCAGGAGGCAGCUGCCAGCCUGGUGCCCGCGUCCUUCCGUCUCCUGCUGGCUGAGCUGCUGCCAUCUGCCUGUGUUAGUCACGGCCGCUGCCGUCCCCCUGCUCUCUGGAGGUGCCUGGGCUUCGCGAGGCUACCUCCUUCCCCUCUAGAUUAUGUGACCAAUUUUUGGUUUAGAAAAUGCAGUCACUUAGGAUUUGUGUACUGAAGAUCACUCCUCUUGUGUUUGGCCUUUGCUCCAGCCCACAUUCAAGUGGUGACCUUUGGGUUAUUUUGCCAAGUCUGGAACCUGAGUCUUCUGGAAAUUGGGGCGGUAAAAAUGUAUUUAAUAUCGAUUCAGAUCUUUUUUGCAUUAAAAUGUACACAUGCAGGUUAUUUUCUGCCAAACUUGAGAUCAUCUUUUUUUACCUUCUGCUUUAAUAUUGUUAAACAAUAUUCUUAAAACAAAGUCAAUUUGAAACAAAUAAACAUUAUAAAACUGUAGAAAAUUGAGUUAAAUUAAAACUAAUUUCUCCAAGGA
Molecule: non-coding RNA, 6534 nt
Organism: Peromyscus maniculatus bairdii (prairie deer mouse)
Lineage: Eukaryota; Metazoa; Chordata; Mammalia; Rodentia; Cricetidae
Source: RefSeq, a predicted model, not a curated record